RNAcentral lists this ribosomal RNA (327 nucleotides) under Pyrodinium bahamense. RNAcentral describes it as "partial Bacterial small subunit ribosomal RNA". It matches the Rfam family "Bacterial small subunit ribosomal RNA", at positions 1131 to 1457 of the family's 1533-position model. Lineage: Eukaryota; Dinophyceae; Gonyaulacales; Pyrocystaceae. The record is from RNAcentral.
GUGGGGACUCUAGCCAGACUGCCUACGCAAGUAGUGAGGAAGGUGGGGACGACGUCAAGUCAUCAUGGCCCUUACGUCCAGGGCUGCACACGUGCUACAAUGGUUGGUACAAUGGGUAGCCACCCAGCGAUGGGGCGCAAAUCCACAAAACCAAUCUCAGUUCGGAUUGGAGUCUGCAACUCGACUCCAUGAAGUUGGAAUCGCUAGUAAUCGCGUAUCAGCAAUGACGCGGUGAAUACGUUCCCGGGCCUUGUACACACCGCCCGUCAAGCGAUGGAAGUCAGGAGUACCUGAUGUCGGCGUGCUAACCUUCGGGAGGCAGCUGCC